AUUGAACGCUGGCGGAAUGCUUUACACAUGCAAGUCGAACGGUAGAGGGGGCAACCCCUCGAGAGUGGCGAACGGGUGAGUAAUAUAUCGGAACGUGCCCAGUCGUGGGGGAUAACGUAGCGAAAGUUACGCUAAUACCGCAUACGAUCUAAGGAUGAAAGCGGGGGAUCGAAAGGCCUCGCGCGAUUGGAGCGGCCGAUAUCAGAUUAGGUAGUUGGUGGGGUAAAGGCUCACCAAGCCAACGAUCUGUGGCUGGUCGGAGAGGACGACCAGCCACACUGGAACUGAGACACGGUCCAGACUCCUACGGGAGGCAGCAGUGGGGAAUUUUGGACAAUGGACGCAAGUCUGAUCCAGCCAUUCCGCGUGCAGGAUGAAGGCCCUCGGGUUGUAAACUGCUUUUGUACGGAACGAAAAGGUCUCUCUUAAUACGGGGGGCUCAUGACGGUACCGUAAGAAUAAGCACCGGCUAACUACGUGCCAGCAGCCGCAGUAA
This 496-nucleotide ribosomal RNA is filed under the name uncultured bacterium. RNAcentral's name for it is "partial 16S ribosomal RNA". It matches the Rfam family "Bacterial small subunit ribosomal RNA", at positions 30 to 523 of the family's 1533-position model. The record is from RNAcentral.